ACGCUCGACACCUACGGGAGGGAGCAGUGGGGAAUAUUGCACAAUGGGGGAAACCCUGAUGCAGCGACGCCGCGUGAGCGAAGAAGUAUCUCGGUAUGUAAAGCUCUAUCAGCAGGGAAGAAGAUGACGGUACCUGACUAAGAAGCACCGGCUAAAUACGUGCCAGCAGCCGNGGUAAUCUGAGGCGGGCUGGCAAGGC
RNAcentral lists this ribosomal RNA (199 nucleotides) under uncultured bacterium. RNAcentral describes it as "partial 16S ribosomal RNA". It matches the Rfam family "Bacterial small subunit ribosomal RNA", at positions 328 to 539 of the family's 1533-position model. The record is from RNAcentral.